GUGAGGAAUAUUGGUCAAUGGGCGAGAGCCUGAACCAGCCAAGUCGCGUGAAGGAAGAAGGAUCUAUGGUUCGUAAACUUCUUUUGCAGGGGAAUAAAGUGCAGGACGUGUCCUGUUUUGUAUGUACCCUGAGAAUAAGGAUCGGCUAACUCCGUGCCAGCAGCCGCGGUAAUACGGAGGAACCGAGCGUUAUCCGGAUUUAUUGGGUUUAAAGGGUGCGUAGGUGGUUUGAUAAGUCAGCGGUGAAAGUUUGCAGCUUAACUGUAAAAAUGCCGUUGAAACUGUCGGACUUGAGUGUAAAUGAGGUAGGCGGAAUGCGUGGUGUAGCGGUGAAAUGCAUAGAUAUCACGCAGAACUCCGAUUGCGAAGGCAGCUUACUAAGCUACAACUGACACUGAAGCACGAAAGCGUGGGGAUCAAACAGGAUUAGAAACCCCGGUAGUCC
Molecule: ribosomal RNA, 445 nt
Filed under: uncultured bacterium
Lineage: Bacteria
Description: partial 16S ribosomal RNA
Rfam family: Bacterial small subunit ribosomal RNA
Source: RNAcentral